This 2455-nucleotide long non-coding RNA is filed under the name Cricetulus griseus (Chinese hamster). RNAcentral describes it as "lncRNA (ENSCGRG00015041458.1)". Lineage: Eukaryota; Metazoa; Chordata; Mammalia; Rodentia; Cricetidae. The record is from RNAcentral.
CCAGGAGCUCUGAGAACCCCUGUUCCAGUCAGGACCUCGUACCCUACCUCUGAAGUGGAUUCUUCCAGCUGUCCUGUUAUGGUUUCAAUCAAGAAUGUUUCCCAUAGGCUAGUGAUUUGUUUGUUUGCUUUUUUUUUUUUUUGUUUGUUUUUUGGUUUUUCGAGACAGGGUUUCUCUGUGUAGCUUUGGAGCCUAUCCUGGCACUUGCUCUGGAGAGCAGGCUGGCCUCAAACUCACAGAGAUCCACCUGCCUCUGACUCCCAAGUGCUGGGAUUAAAGGCCUGCGCCACCAACGCCCGGGGAAAGUGUACUUUCUACAAGCAAGGGCCCUCCUCCCCCAGACCCACACCAAGAUCCUCCAAAGACAGCCAGCCCUGGAGAAUAUCCUGUGCAGACUGAAGAGUGGGUAGUGUGGCAGCUACCCGUCUUGUUGUUUCCUGGAGCUGCUAGGAGUUGAAAGGGAUGUGGAACUGAAGGGACUUCCUGCUUCUGUUAAGUGGAUCAUGGGGCACCAUUUUUGCCUAGGCAGUGGCCAUGAAAGGGAAGGAAAGCCACAAUAUGAGGAAGUGUGCAGGGCAUCUGAAGGCUCACCUCGGAAUCCUUCUACAGGAAAGAGGGAAUGGUGUCACUGCUGACAACAGUCUCCCCCAACCAAGUGGCAGAAGAUACUCAUACAGGAGCUGGUGUGGAAACUUUUUACAGUUGAAAAUGAGUCCAUAUAUGACUCCAACUCUAGAAGGCAUGGGAAAUGAGCCAGUUUCAUCUGUAUCUCCCUUCAGAAUGGGGAUUUCACAUGUGCCAACUCAUGGCCUGGCUCCACAGGACAGGUGGGGCCUGUGUGUUUAGAGUUGAGGGGUAUGAGAAUAUCAAGCCCACACAGUCACGGAAUGGCAUCUUGGAGUAAUCAUGUUUUGAUGGCAAGCAACACGAAGCAUGAAGUCAUUCCAACAUCAAGGGAACUCAUGGGAAGCACUCUCUGGACAUGUAGAAUUUUAGAAGCAGGCCUUUCUUGGGCCUUGAGAGUUUGGAAAAGGCUGAUCCAAGUACUACCACCCAGAUGGCUAAAUCACCAAUAGCCCUCUGUCUUUUCAACACUAUUUUUCUCAGACAAGGAGGGUUUGUGACACAGACUCCAGACAUGAGCCUGCAUUCUGAAGAGCUCACUGAUUAGCUGUGUCAAUGAUAUCCCUUAACUAGAGAGACACAUAGUGCUAUGAAUAGCAGCCUCACAGGGAAGCAAUAAUCUUGCCUCCUUCCCCCACAAUUGGAAUGCUAUCCCUAAAGAAGGUGCAAUGCAUGCUGGGAAACACGAGAACAGUGAACUUGCUCCAUCUAGUCCAGACUCUUCCUGAUUGCUUUGGAUGUGAUCUGUCCCCUAAAGGUUUUUGUAGUGAGCACUUGGUCUCCUGUGUGGUGCUGUCAAGAGGCAGUGGGACAUAUAAGAGGUGAGGCCUAGUAGGAAGAGGUUAAUGGAGACACCGCCCUCAGGAGGAUUUCAUGUAGUUCUCUUGAGGCCCCAUUGGGUCUUAGAAGACAGUUGCCACAAAAAGAGCUGGCCAUUUACUUCCUGUCUCACCAUAUGAUCUCGCCCUCUGACAAGUGCUCUCACCAUUGUGAUGUCAUCUGCCAUGAGGACUUCACCAGAACCCAGCAGAAGCCUGUGGGUGUCCCUGAUCCUCUAGGGCUGUGAGCUAAAUGAGUCCCUUUUCUAAAGCACCUAGCCUCGGGCAUUUCAUUAUAGUGAUGGAAAGUAAACUAACACAAGGGCAAUGGCAGUAUUACCCUACUCUACAGGACAGAUGCUGCUGAGGCAAACAUCUGUGGGAAUAGGCAGAGAGGGCUUCUCCUCUGAGCCAAGGGUGGGACCAGCUGGAAAAAAGACCUUCAAGCCCAGAGGAGGCUGCAGUAUUACAUUAUUUAUUACCUUCUGGGCUGCAUUUUAGAGGAUAUUUUUGCCUGGGCCACAGGUUUGAUAACAGAUGCAAUAAAAUGGGGCAAAUGUGAUUUAGUAGAACAAUAUGGCAAGAUGAUGUCAUCUGUGUAGUAAACAAGGGGAGCUAUUGGGUCAUAAAUAGUCUUUUUACAGCGACUGUGAGUGGGUCCGAGAGCAGAUGCGUAGUAAACACGAUUGCUUUAUAGAAAUUCCUUUCCUUUGGAAACGAUGAGAAAACCACGUGUGACCUGUUCUUGUGAGCUUUAUUUUGUGCUUUUUGAUGGGCUCAUUUAACUCUUCUUUGGUCACCUAAUAGAUGGUCCUUGCUAAGCAUUGCCUGCUUUUGUGCACCCAAACUAUCAGGCAUUGGAAAUGGCUCAGCACAUAUUCUCUCUCUCUCUCUCUCUCUCUCUCUCUCUCUCUGUCUGUCUCUCUUUCUGUCUCUCUGUCUCUCUGUCUCUCUGUCUCUCUGUCUCUCUCUCUCUCUCUCUCUCUCUCUCUCACACACACAUACACACAAAC